GCCAAGUUAACUGCCAAGUUACUGAAACGAAGUCCUGACCAUAAUCUAAACAUUCAAUCAAUACUAUUCUUGCUGAAGAAAACAAAAGAUCCAGGCAAACUUUCAGAGUCCAUUCUCCCAAGAGCCAAAGGUGACAAAGCUCCAGUGAUGUGGGUGAUCAUCCUUGUUCCUAACACUUCUUUGUCUUCAAGAGCCCACCUUCUCUCAACCUCCUGGUGCCUCAAUUUCUUCAUCUGCAAGGAAAAAUGACCCUCAAGGAGGAAUUAAGAAGUGAAAGAGACAGCUUGGAAUGAAGAACAAGGCCGGUAAACCAUGCCAACCACUUCGCCUGGGGUUCAACUGAAAGAGUGAUGGUCUCUUCCAUGGCAGGACGAGGAAAACUCAAUGGGAUUGGGCUUUUUUGAGAGCCUGUACACAAAGCAGUGUAUUCUGUACUUUCUGUGGAAUUUAAGGGAAUUUUUCAGGGGCUACUUUUAACUAUAUGACUGAUUUUCCAUCUUAUUACCUCCAAUUUAUAAUAUAAGAAGCUAUCCUUA
RNAcentral lists this long non-coding RNA (536 nucleotides) under Equus caballus (horse). Its description in RNAcentral is "lncRNA (ENSECAG00000057890.1)". The record is from RNAcentral. Lineage: Eukaryota; Metazoa; Chordata; Mammalia; Perissodactyla; Equidae.